RNAcentral lists this ribosomal RNA (253 nucleotides) under uncultured bacterium. Its description in RNAcentral is "partial 16S ribosomal RNA". It matches the Rfam family "Bacterial small subunit ribosomal RNA", at positions 524 to 776 of the family's 1533-position model. The record is from RNAcentral.
UACGUAGGGGGCAAGCGUUGUCCGGAUUUAUUGGGCGUAAAGAGCGUGUAGGCGGCCAGGUAGGUCUGCUGUGAAAACUCGAGGCUUAACCUCGAGCUGGCGGCGGAAACCAUCUGGCUAGAGUCCUGAAGAGGAGAAUGGAAUUCCCGGUGUAGCGGUGAAAUGCGCAGAUAUCGGGAAGAACACCCGUGGCGAAGGCGGUUCUCUGGGACGGUACUGACGCUGAGACGCGAAAGCGUGGGGAGCGAACAGG